ACUACUUUGGCAGAUUAGUGCAGUAAAUUUAGAAUUUAUAAAUGUAAUUUUAAAUUACAAGUAGUA
Molecule: transfer RNA, 66 nt
Filed under: Brachymna tenuis
Lineage: Eukaryota; Metazoa; Arthropoda; Insecta; Hemiptera; Pentatomidae
Description: tRNA-Leu
Rfam family: tRNA
About the family: Transfer RNA (tRNA) molecules are approximately 80 nucleotides in length. Their secondary structure includes four short double-helical elements and three loops (D, anti-codon, and T loops). Further hydrogen bonds mediate the characteristic L-shaped molecular structure. tRNAs have two regions of fundamental functional importance: the anti-codon, which is responsible for specific mRNA codon recognition, and the 3' end, to which the tRNAs corresponding amino acid is attached (by aminoacyl-tRNA synthetases). tRNAs cope with the degeneracy of the genetic code in two manners: having more than one tRNA (with a specific anti-codon) for a particular amino acid; and 'wobble' base-pairing, i.e. permitting non-standard base-pairing at the 3rd anti-codon position.
Source: RNAcentral